CUACACAUGCAAGUCUAGCGGAACGAGUUAUCUGAACCUUCGGGGGACGAUAACGGCGUCGAGCGGCGGACGGGUGAGUAAUGCCUAGGAAAUUGCCCUGAUGUGGGGGAUAACCAUUGGAAACGAUGGCUAAUACCGCAUAAUGCCUACGGGCCAAAGAGGGGGACCUUCGGGCCUCUCGCGUCAGGAUAUGCCUAGGUGGGAUUAGCUAGUUGGUGAGGUAAUGGCUCACCAAGGCGACGAUCCCUAGCUGGUCUGAGAGGAUGAUCAGCCACACUGGAACUGAGACACGGUCCAGACUCCUACGGGAGGCAGCAGUGGGGAAUAUUGCACAAUGGGCGCAAGCCUGAUGCAGCCAUGCCGCGUGUGUGAAGAAGGCCUUCGGGUUGUAAAGCACUUUCAGUCGUGAGGAAGGUAGUGUAGUUAAUAGCUGC
This 434-nucleotide ribosomal RNA is filed under the name Vibrio sp. P12-20. Its description in RNAcentral is "bacterial SSU rRNA". It matches the Rfam family "Bacterial small subunit ribosomal RNA", at positions 49 to 469 of the family's 1533-position model. The record is from RNAcentral. Lineage: Bacteria; Pseudomonadati; Pseudomonadota; Gammaproteobacteria; Vibrionales; Vibrionaceae.